This is a long non-coding RNA of Jaculus jaculus (lesser Egyptian jerboa), 813 nucleotides long. RefSeq lists it as uncharacterized. Lineage: Eukaryota; Metazoa; Chordata; Mammalia; Rodentia; Dipodidae. The record is from RefSeq and is a predicted model, not a curated record. The transcript has 3 exons.
GCUUGGAGACUGUGCAUCCCAUCUUCUAAACCUGAUCUCCAUAAUGCCAGUGCCUUUAGAGUGUACAAUGGAUUGGAACAAUGAGGCUGGAGAGAAACAGAAGGAGGACAGGAAGCAGGACCUGCUGGGGCAACACUAAACCUCACCUACUUUGACCUCACUCAAGGAAGUUUGGAAGACAGGGAGGGGACCAUCACCCCUAUGUGUGCCUCUCCUGUCCACAUUUUGAGUCAUGCUGAAUGCAAUAAACCUUGAAUCAAAGAAUUUUAUUUGACAAUAGACAUCUGAAAUAUUCAAAGUGCCUCUACUUGGAUCCAAAACUCUACUUAUAAGAAAAAUGUAAUGAGCUGGGAUGAUGACUCAGUCAAUAAACACUUGUCACACAAGCCUGAGGACCUCAGUUUAGAUCCCCAGCACCCACAAAACAGCCAGAAGUGUAGCUCCACCUGCAUGAAAUCUCCUUUUGUGGUCUUCUGUGACUUCAAGUCGAUAAUUAUCACUCUCCUGAAGAGCUGCAACCUUGCCUGUUCAUAAAAGCCAAGUGAAACCACCGCCUGCUAUGUACAUAAGGUACAAAAUCAAAUGAAGACCCAAAAGUGAAACUCUCAGAAGCAACAACUUGUGACUAGAACUUCAUCCUUGGACUGCAGCAAUUGUGGAGAAAUAAAUGACGCCAAUCCAGAGCCAAUAAUAUUUGGACUGUAUUAGCCCUUUUAAUGGCCAGUAUUAUUUCUCUGCAUGUGACUUGACAUCUCUCUGUGACUAGCUAGAAUAUCUAUUGUUUUAAGUUAAAAAAAAAAAAAACACCUCACA